AUACGGAAGGUCCGGGCGUUAUCCGGAUUUAUUGGGUUUAAAGGGAGCGCAGGCGGCACUUCAAGCGUGACGUUAAAUUUCGGGGCUCACCCCCGUUGUGCGUCGCGAACUGUUGUGCUUGAGUAGGCGGCAGGGAGGCGGAAUUCGCGGUGUAGCGGUGAAAUGCUUAGAUAUCGCGAGGAACUCCGAUAGCGCAGGCAGCCUCCCGUUGCUUUACUGACGCUCAUGCUCGAAGGUGCGGGUAUCGAACAGGAUUAGAUACCCUGGUAGUCCGCACUGUAAACGAUGGAUGCCCGCUGUUGGGCCUUUUGGGUUCAGUGGCCAAGAGAAAUCGUUAAGCAUCCCACCUGGGGAGUACGCCGGCAACGGUGAAACUCAAAUGAAUUGACGGGG
Molecule: ribosomal RNA, 393 nt
Filed under: uncultured bacterium
Lineage: Bacteria
Description: partial 16S ribosomal RNA
Rfam family: Bacterial small subunit ribosomal RNA
Source: RNAcentral